Molecule: ribosomal RNA, 938 nt
Filed under: Lactiplantibacillus plantarum
Lineage: Bacteria; Bacillati; Bacillota; Bacilli; Lactobacillales; Lactobacillaceae
Description: bacterial SSU rRNA
Rfam family: Bacterial small subunit ribosomal RNA
Source: RNAcentral
CCCUGCUAGAGACGCUGGCGGCGUGCCUAAUACAUGCAAGUCCGAACGAACUCUGGUAUUGAUUGGUGCUUGCAUCAUGAUUUACAUUUGAGUGAGUGGCGAACUGGUGAGUAACACGUGGGAAACCUGCCCAGAAGCGGGGGAUAACACCUGGAAACAGAUGCUAAUACCGCAUAACAACUUGGACCGCAUGGUCCGAGCUUGAAAGAUGGCUUCGGCUAUCACUUUUGGAUGGUCCCGCGGCGUAUUAGCUAGAUGGUGGGGUAACGGCUCACCAUGGCAAUGAUACGUAGCCGACCUGAGAGGGUAAUCGGCCACAUUGGGACUGAGACACGGCCCAAACUCCUACGGGAGGCAGCAGUAGGGAAUCUUCCACAAUGGACGAAAGUCUGAUGGAGCAACGCCGCGUGAGUGAAGAAGGGUUUCGGCUCGUAAAACUCUGUUGUUAAAGAAGAACAUAUCUGAGAGUAACUGUUCAGGUAUUGACGGUAUUUAACCAGAAAGCCACGGCUAACUACGUGCCAGCAGCCGCGGUAAUACGUAGGUGGCAAGCGUUGUCCGGAUUUAUUGGGCGUAAAGCGAGCGCAGGCGGUUUUUUAAGUCUGAUGUGAAAGCCUUCGGCUCAACCGAAGAAGUGCAUCGGAAACUGGGAAACUUGAGUGCAGAAGAGGACAGUGGAACUCCAUGUGUAGCGGUGAAAUGCGUAGAUAUAUGGAAGAACACCAGUGGCGAAGGCGGCUGUCUGGUCUGUAACUGACGCUGAGGCUCGAAAGUAUGGGUAGCAAACAGGAUUAGAUACCCUGGUAGUCCAUACCGUAAACGAUGAAUGCUAAGUGUUGGAAGGUUUCCGCCCUUCAAUGCUGCAGCUAACGCAUUAAGCGUUCGCCUGGGGAGUACGAGCCGCAAGGCUGAAACUCAAGGGAAUUGGCUGGGGCCGA